This 369-nucleotide unclassified non-coding RNA is filed under the name plant metagenome. RNAcentral's name for it is "partial contains 5.8S ribosomal RNA, internal transcribed spacer 2, and large subunit ribosomal RNA". The stretch from base 1 to 105 matches the Rfam family "5.8S ribosomal RNA", at positions 50 to 154 of the family's 154-position model. The record is from RNAcentral.
GAAAUGCGAUAAGUAAUGUGAAUUGCAGAAUUCAGUGAAUCAUCGAAUCUUUGAACGCACCUUGCGCUCCUUGGUAUUCCGAGGAGCAUGCCUGUUUGAGUGUCAUGAAAACCCUCAACCCUAGAUUGGUUAAAACCUUUCUUUGGUUUGGAUUUGGACGUUUGCCGAUGAUAAGUCGGCUCGUCUUAAAAGUAAUAGCUGGAUCUGUCUCGCGACAUGGUUUGACUUGGCGUAAUAAGUAUUUCGCUAAGGACAUCUUCGGAUGGCCGCGUUGCAGGACUAAAGACCGCUUUCUAAUCCAUUGAUCUUCGGAUUAAUACUCUUGACAUCUGGCCUCAAAUCAGGUAGGACUACCCGCUGAACUUAAGC